This 506-nucleotide ribosomal RNA is filed under the name uncultured bacterium. RNAcentral's name for it is "partial 16S ribosomal RNA". It matches the Rfam family "Bacterial small subunit ribosomal RNA", at positions 29 to 523 of the family's 1533-position model. The record is from RNAcentral.
AUUGAACGCUGGCGGCAGGCCAAACACAUGCAAGUCGAACGGCAGCGGGGGAUAGCUUGCUAUCCUGCCGGCGAGUGGCGGACGGGUGAGUAAUGCAUGGGGAGCUGCCCAGUCGAGGGGGAUAACAACUGGAAACGGUUGCUAAUACCGCAUACGCCCUGAGGGGGAAAGGUGGGGAACUUCGGUCCUACCGCGAUUGGAUGCGCCCAUGUGGGAUUAGCUAGUUGGUGGGGUAACGGCUCACCAAGGCGACGAUCUCUAGCUGGUCUGAGAGGAUGACCAGCCACACUGGAACUGAGACACGGUCCAGAGUCCUACGGGAGGCAGCAGUGGGGAAUAUUGCACAAUGGGGGAAACCCUGAUGCAGCCAUGCCGCGUGUGUGAAGAAGGCCUUCGGGUUGUAAAGCACUUUCAGUCAGGAGGAAGGGGUGAUGGCUAAUAUCCAUCAUCAUUGACGUUACUGACAGAAGAAGCACCGGCUAACUCCGUGCCAGCCGCCGCCGUAA